UACGAAGGGUGCAAGCGUUACUCGGAAUUACUGGGCGUAAAGCGUGCGUAGGUGGUUUGUUAAGUCUGUUGUGAAAGCCCCGGGCUCAACCUGGGAAUGGCAAUGGAUACUGGCAAGCUAGAGUGCGGUAGAGGGUAGUGGAAUUCCCGGUGUAGCGGUGAAAUGCGUAGAGAUCGGGAGGAACACCAGUGGCGAAGGCGGCUACCUGGACCAGCACUGACACUGAGGCACGAAAGCGUGGGGAGCAAACGGG
This 253-nucleotide ribosomal RNA is filed under the name uncultured bacterium. RNAcentral describes it as "partial 16S ribosomal RNA". It matches the Rfam family "Bacterial small subunit ribosomal RNA", at positions 524 to 776 of the family's 1533-position model. The record is from RNAcentral.